Molecule: ribosomal RNA, 253 nt
Filed under: uncultured bacterium
Lineage: Bacteria
Description: partial 16S ribosomal RNA
Rfam family: Bacterial small subunit ribosomal RNA
Source: RNAcentral
UACAGAGGGGGCAAGCGUUGUUCGGAAUUACUGGGCGUAAAGGGCGCGUAGGCGGCCUUCUAAGUCGAGCGUGAAAUCCCCGGGCUCAACCCGGGAACUGCGUCCGAUACUGGAAGGCUUGAAUCCGGGAGAGGGAUGCGGAAUUCCAGGUGUAGCGGUGAAAUGCGUAGAUAUCUGGAGGAACACCGGUGGCGAAGGCGGCAUCCUGGACCGGUACUGACGCUGAGACGCGAAAGCGUGGGGAGCGAACAGG